RNAcentral lists this long non-coding RNA (1133 nucleotides) under Equus caballus (horse). RNAcentral describes it as "lncRNA (ENSECAG00000057223.1)". Lineage: Eukaryota; Metazoa; Chordata; Mammalia; Perissodactyla; Equidae. The record is from RNAcentral.
UGGAGGAGGCCAAGGGUUGGAUGUACCCUGGCCAGCAGCCCAGGAAGCCUGAGCAUAUAAUUAAAAGAUUGUAUCUUCUUGGGUCUGUCUUUUGGGACAAGAGCUCUCAGUGUUGUCCUCACCCUGUGACCUCCGUCUGGGCACUACGUCCACUGCUGCCUGGCUCGGUUCUGUCCCUUCGGGCAGGGUUGGCAGCUCAGUUUCACCUGGUUCUGAGCACGGAAAGGACAGACUCCCUUUCUGCCCUUCAGGCCUCCUAAUAGCCACCCCACAGGGGAAUGGGUACUCCUCCCUCUCACGUGCCUCCUGGCUGUGUGUCCAUCCUGGAGGGGGCUGUCCCCAGUUCACAGAGAGGCCACCCAGCUAGUAAGUGAAGAGCUCAGCCUCAGAUGUAACUGUGCUGAGUGCUGCACUCUAUGUUCGUCCCUUCCCCUUCCUGACUCCCCGGCUGGGAGGACCAUGGGCGGUGGGGAUGGGGUGGGUGUACAAGGGAAAAGCCCCUCCUCCAAUACUGGACCAUGGCUUUGAGGAACCCAACUGGUCAUGGAAUACUUUGGCCUUUGCAAGUAAGACCAUGAGACGUCAAGCCAUCACGGUCUCGGCAGCUCCACACCAUCCGAAGGGCACCGGCCUCACCAGCCAGAAGGAAGGAAGGCAGGGAUGGCACAGAGGAAACCCAGCCCUGAAGCAGAGUCUGUCCUGGAGUCCCGCCUGUGUGCCUGUGCGCGAUAGAAGGGGUGCCUCGGUCGGACGGCAGAGGGCCAGGGUCAGGCGGAGCCACUCGAGGCCACGACUGCGGUGUGGGAAGGAAGACGGGCUCUCACAGGCCAGGUGGCCACACAGGCUGGCUGCCCAGUGCGGGCCUGGCUCUGGCCUGCUGCCGCGGACUAGUUAUUUAAUACAGUAGGCCCUCCUUAUCGAGGGGGAUUCGUUCCAAGACCCCUAGUGGGUGCCUGAAACCAUGGAUAAGACCAAACCCUAACAUACUACGUUUUUUCCUACACAUACAUACCUAUGAUAAAGUUUAAUUUAUAAAUUAGGCAUAGUAAAAGAUUAACAACAAUAACUAUAAUAAAAUAGAACAAUUAUAAUAAUAUACUAUAAUAAAAGUUACCAGAGAUCUUCGCAACCUC